RNAcentral lists this ribosomal RNA (497 nucleotides) under uncultured bacterium. Its description in RNAcentral is "partial 16S ribosomal RNA". It matches the Rfam family "Bacterial small subunit ribosomal RNA", at positions 28 to 507 of the family's 1533-position model. The record is from RNAcentral.
GAUGAACGCUGGCGGCGUGCCUAAUACAUGCAAGUCGAGCGAACAGACGAGGAGCUUGCUCCUUUGACGUUAGCGGCGGACGGGUGAGUAACACGUAGUUAACCUACCUAUAAGACUGGGAUAACUUCGGGAAACCGGAGCUAAUACCGGAUAAUAUUUCGAACCGCAUGGUUCGAUAGUGAAAGAUGGCUUUGCUAUCACUUAUAGAUGGACCUGCGCCGUAUUAGCUAGUUGGUAAGGUAACGGCUUACCAAGGCAACGAUACGUAGCCGACCUGAGAGGGUGAUCGGACACACUGGAACUGAGACACGGUCCAGACUCCUACGGGAGGCAGCAGUAGGGAAUCUUCCGCAAUGGGCGAAAGCCUGACGGAGCAACGCCGCGUGAGUGAUGAAGGUCUUCGGAUCGUAAAACUCUGUUAUUAGGGAAGAACAAACGUGUAAGUAACUGUGCACGUCUUGACGGUACCUAAUCAGAAAGCCACGGCUAACUACGUG